Molecule: non-coding RNA, 257 nt
Filed under: Chloropicon mariensis
Lineage: Eukaryota; Viridiplantae; Chlorophyta; Chloropicophyceae; Chloropicales; Chloropicaceae
Source: RNAcentral
UAAAGAAAAAAUAAACAGGAAAAAGAAAACAGGAAAAAGACUCAGAAGAAGCGUGCCACCUGUAUAUCAAAUACAUAAAUCAUUCCUCUUUUUUCUGCUGUAAAAGAAUUUUUAGUCAAAAAGUUACGAACCUACGAAACCAGAAAAAAAAUUUCAGAGCUGGAAGAGAACCUCUAUCGUAUUCGUUUAUUAAAGAAAGAAAAAGAAAAGCCAAACACUACUCUUCUGAUGAUAUCUACUUCCUUCUACAUUCCCUA